Molecule: ribosomal RNA, 348 nt
Filed under: uncultured bacterium
Lineage: Bacteria
Description: bacterial SSU rRNA
Rfam family: Bacterial small subunit ribosomal RNA
Source: RNAcentral
AGAGUUUGAUCAUGGCUCAGGACGAACGCUGGCGGCGCGCCUAACACAUGCAAGUCGAACGAGCGAGAGGAGGUUUACUUUCUCAAGCGAGUGGCGAACGGGUGAGUAACGCGUGAGGAACCUGCCUCAAAGAGGGGGACAACAGUUGGAAACGACUGCUAAUACCGCAUAAGCCCACGACCCGGCAUCGGGUAGAGGGAAAAGGAGCAAUCCGCUUUGAGAUGGCCUCGCGUCCGAUUAGCUGGUUGGUGAGGUAACGGCCACCAAGGCGACGAUCGGUAGCCGGACUGAGAGGUUGAACGGCCGACAUUGGGGACUGAGACACGGCCCAGACUCCUACGGGAGGCA